CCUACGGGAGGCAGCAGUGGGGAAUAUUGCACAAUGGGCGAAAGCCUGAUGCAGCAACGCCGCGUGAGCGAUGAAGGCCUUCUGGUCGUAAAGCUCUGUCCUCAAGGAAGAUAAUGACGGUACUUGAGGAGGAAGCCCCGGCUAACUACGUGCCAGCAGCCGCGGUAAUAGGUAGGGGGCUAGCGUUAUCCGGAAUUACUGGGCGUAAAGGGUGCGUCGGGGGUUUCUUAAGUCAGAGGUAAAAGGCUACGGUUCAACCUGAGUAAGCCUUUGAAACUGGGGGACUUGAGUGCAGGAGGGGAGAGUGGAAUUCAUGGUGUAGCGGUGAAAUGCGUAGAGAUUAGGAAGAACACCAGUUGCGAAGGCGGCUCUCUGGACUACAACUGACACUGAGGCACGAAAGCGUGGGGAGCAAACAGGAUUAGAUACCCUUGUAGUC
Molecule: ribosomal RNA, 439 nt
Filed under: uncultured bacterium
Lineage: Bacteria
Description: partial 16S ribosomal RNA
Rfam family: Bacterial small subunit ribosomal RNA
Source: RNAcentral